GACGAACGCUGGCGGCGUGCUUAACACAUGCAAGUCGAACGGAAAGGCCCUGCUUUUGUGGGGUGCUCGAGUGGCGAACGGGUUAGUAACACGUGAUUAACCUGCCCUUGACUUUGGGAUAACUUCAGGAAACUGGGGCUAAUACCGGAUAGGAGCUCCUGCUGCAUGGUGGGGGUUGGAAAGUUUCUGCGGUUGGGGAUGGACUCGCGGCUUAUCAGCUUGUUGGUGGGGUAGUGGCUUACCAAGGCUUUGACGGGUAGCCGGCCUGAGAGGGUGACAGGCCACAUUGGGACUGAGAUACGGCCCAGACUCCUAAGGGAGGCAGCAGUGGGGAAUAUUGCACAAUGGGCGGAAGCCUGAUGCAGCAACGCCGCGUGCGGGAUGACGGCCUUCGGGUUGUAAACCGCUUUCGCCUGUGACGAAGCGUGAGUGACGGUAAUGGGUAAAGAAGCACCGGCUAACUACGUG
RNAcentral lists this ribosomal RNA (468 nucleotides) under uncultured bacterium. RNAcentral describes it as "partial 16S ribosomal RNA". It matches the Rfam family "Bacterial small subunit ribosomal RNA", at positions 28 to 507 of the family's 1533-position model. The record is from RNAcentral.